Non-coding RNA from Lupinus angustifolius (narrow-leaved blue lupine), 149 nucleotides. The record is from Rfam. NCBI's taxonomy places the organism in Eukaryota, Viridiplantae, Streptophyta, Magnoliopsida, Fabales, Fabaceae.
GGUUCGAUGCCACGUCGAUGGUAGCUACGUGCAAUGACCAACGAUGCUAUGAUUGAACCAAAAUCAAGAGUGAAUUGUUUCGCAUCUUGAUAGGAAUCUGUGGAUUUCGUAACUUUCAAUUCACGGAGCCGUUUUAUGCGAUUACAUUU